CCUUUCUCCCCGCCGCAUUCCCGGUGUCGACUUACUAGCUGCAAGCCUCUGCCUGCCUUCCUGCGCGCCGUUCCCCGCUAGUCGCUGCUGCUGGCGCGCACUCGCCGGGUUUUUCCUCCCACGGCCUCGAGAUGGUGGUGAAUGUGGCACGGAGGAGCCGGGCCUUCCAACCCGGUGGGCCCGAGCUCCGAAAGGCCCCCUCGGCAGUGAGAGGGGCGGGAGCCCGCGGGGGCCGCGCCCUUCUCUCGCUUCGGACUGCGCAACGCUGCGCUCUGGGCUGACAGGCGGAUAAAACGGUCCCAUCAAGACUGAGAAAAAGCACACCAGCUAUUGGCACAGCGUGGGCAGUGGGGCCUACAGGAUGACUGACUUAGUCUACAGAGAUCCCGGCGUACUUAAGCAGGUAGUAAUGAUGGACAGAUGAAGACUCUUAAGAUGACAGAAGGUGAUUUUUCUGGUGAUCGAGGACUUCCGGGGUAAUGACAGUGAUGAAAUGCAGGGGACCUGGUUGCCCCCAAGUUUCCUGGCAGUGUGUGAUACUGAGGAGGUGAGCUUGUUUCUGGAGCUGUGCUUUAAGGUAAAGUUGAUCAGCUUAAUCCUCCUGAUCCCUUUCCCAUCGGAUCUGAACACUGGUCUUGGUGGUCGUAAAAGGAGGAAAAGUAAUAGUGAAGCUGGCCUAAAUGUUGUAAUCUGGUAUAUGGCAUGUGGGCUAGUUUCAGACAGGUUUCAGAGAUGGUUGGAUCUCUGAAAUUGUAAAAUGAAGUAUAAUCUUAGGCUAAGGGAAGGAUGCGUGUGAAGCUCUGGAGGUUGGUAUAGUAAUAGCUGACCUAUUACUGCAUUUGGGAGGGAUCUGUCAUAGCUUCCUUGCCUCUUAAUUAAGGGUGGUGUUUUUUUCUUUUAGAUUCAUGUUACAUGUAAAGCUGUCCUCAUUUGUGACUAUGGACCUAUGGAGUUGGGACAAUCUCUAUGGGAAGCAGAAGGCAAGGACCCCGGUCAUUUUAGGUAGAAACAACAGCAUGCUAAUGCAAAAAAUUAUGCAGUGUGCUACUGAACUUCAGAGGUGAUCAAUAAAAGAAGAAUAAAAAGACUAAUAAAAGUAAAAAAAAAAAAAAAA
Molecule: long non-coding RNA, 1114 nt
Filed under: Homo sapiens (human)
Lineage: Eukaryota; Metazoa; Chordata; Mammalia; Primates; Hominidae
Description: small nucleolar RNA host gene 12, transcript variant 2 (SNHG12)
Rfam family: Small nucleolar RNA SNORA61 (bases 596-725)
Source: RNAcentral